Small nucleolar RNA from Callithrix jacchus (white-tufted-ear marmoset), 105 nucleotides. Lineage: Eukaryota; Metazoa; Chordata; Mammalia; Primates; Cebidae. The record is from Ensembl.
AUCCUUUUGUAAUUCAUGAGCAUGAUACUUGGGUGUUCACGUGCAUGGGUGAGAUGUGUCACCCUCUGAACCAUGUGACGACGUUGACACAUUACCCUUCUGAUC